Molecule: ribosomal RNA, 805 nt
Filed under: uncultured bacterium
Lineage: Bacteria
Description: bacterial SSU rRNA
Rfam family: Bacterial small subunit ribosomal RNA
Source: RNAcentral
UUAGAGUUUGAUCCUGGCUCAAGAUGAACGCUAGCGGCAGGCUUAACACAUGCAAGUCGAGGGGCAGCGUGUUGGAACUUUCGGGUUCUGAUGACGGCGACCGGCGCAAGGGUGCGUAACGCGUGAGCAACUUGCCCGUUUCAGGGGGAUAGCCGUUGGAAACGACGACUAAUACCCCAUGGUAUGUAUGUGAGGCAUCUCAUAUACAUUAAAGAAUUUCGGAAACGGAUAGGCUCGCGUGACAUUAGCUAGAUGGCGGGGUAACGGCCCACCAUGGCGGCGAUGUCUAGGGGUUCUGAGAGGAAGGUCCCCCACACUGGAACUGAGACACGGUCCAGACUCCUACGGGAGGCAGCAGUGAGGAAUAUUGGUCAAUGGUCGGGAGACUGAACCAGCCAUGCCGCGUGAAGGUGACGGCCCUAUGGGUCUUAAACUUCUUUUGUAAGGGAGCAAUAAGGAUUACGUGUAGUCUGAUGAGAGUACCUUACGAAUAAGCAUCGGCUAACUCCGUGCCAGCAGCCGCGGUAAUACGGGGGAUGCGAGCGUUAUCCGGAUUUAUUGGGUUUAAAGGGUGCGUAGGCGGUCUGUUAAGUCAGCGGUGAAAUUUAGGGGCUCAACCUCUACCGUGCCGUUGAUACUGGCGGACUAGAAUGCGGAUGCCGUUGGAGGAAUGUGUGGUGUAGCGGUGAAAUGCAUAGAUAUCACACAGAACACCGAUUGCGAAGGCAUCUGACGAAUCCGCUAUUGACGCUGAUGCACGAAAGCGUGGGGAUCAAACAGGAUUAGAUACCCUGGUAGUCCACGC